Molecule: long non-coding RNA, 782 nt
Filed under: Meleagris gallopavo (turkey)
Lineage: Eukaryota; Metazoa; Chordata; Aves; Galliformes; Phasianidae
Description: lncRNA (ENSMGAG00000017565.1)
Source: RNAcentral
GAGCCUGGUAGAUCCAAUCUCAUUAAAGCAGAUAACGCUGCUGCUGUUUGUUGUGACACUGUUUGUGUGAGUGACAAGCAAAGGGUUAACUCCAGGGAAUUGGGAAUAUUGCCUGGCUGCUAAUAACACCUCCAUCCCUGCACCCCAACGGGAUGGGAGUCACAGGGAUGGGGGACAGAGAGAGGACAGGGACCCGCAUGCAUCGUUCCCACCUCCUGGAAACCACGCGGAGAGGAGCAGCCCUGCGCUCCAGCCCGGUCAGCAGAGGAAUCUGCACACGCAGACAGGAUCGCUGCAAUCGCUGGUGGCUGAGGAUGAUUCCGACACGAGGAGGAUCCCUCCGUCCUCACCUCGCCGGGUUUUGCGCCGUGUGAACAUUGCAAGGCCGUCUAUCGCUGCACCUGCCCCUAUAUGUAUUGCUGUACCUGCCCCAUAUAUAUUGCUGUACCUGCCCCAUGUAUAUUGCUGUAUCUGCCCCUAUAUUUGUUGCUGUACCUGCCCCAUGUGCUGCUGCACCUGCCCUGCACGUGCGUUGGGACGGGGGGUCAGGUCGGCAGCUUUGCACAGAAGGUCGCAUGGAAAACGUUGCAAGCAAGGAUGGGUUGGAAUGUAAAAGAUUUAUUAAUUUAAUCCGAAGCAUUAAAAGGUCAUGUAUUAAUCAAAGAGAUGCUUAAAACUGUCAAAGUCCUUUGUCAGGUUUGAAGUGCAUCUCUAUAGUUAUCAUAAAAUAUAUAUAGAUAUCAGUCUGGCACGGAGCCCUCACUGGGCUGGGAGUGGAGGGG